RNAcentral lists this ribosomal RNA (2212 nucleotides) under Sphingobacterium athyrii. RNAcentral's name for it is "bacterial LSU rRNA". It matches the Rfam family "Bacterial large subunit ribosomal RNA", at positions 1 to 2229 of the family's 2925-position model. The record is from RNAcentral. Lineage: Bacteria; Pseudomonadati; Bacteroidota; Sphingobacteriia; Sphingobacteriales; Sphingobacteriaceae.
AAGAAAGUAAAUAAGGGCACACGGGGGAUGCCUAGGCUCUCAGAGGCGAAGAAGGACGUGAUAAGCUGCGAUAAGCUUUGGGGAUUGGCAAAUGCGACUUGAUCCAGAGAUUUCCGAAUGGGGCAACCUGACUAUUUGAAGAAUAGUCGUAUAAAACGCGAACGCGCUGAACUGAAACAUCUAAGUAGGCGUAGGAGAAGAAAAUAACAAUGAUUUCCCAAGUAGUGGCGAGCGAACGGGAAAUAGCCCAAACCGAUCAUGUUACGGCAUGGUCGGGGUUGUAGGACCACGACAUUGUACAGCGCUAUGAACUGGAAGCAGGUGGGAAACUGCGCGACAAGGGUGAGAGCCCCGUACAGGUAAAGAAUGUUGACAUAGUGGUAUCCUGAGUACCGCGGGACCGGAGAAAUCCUGUGGGAAUCCACCAGCACCAUCUGGUAAGGCUAAAUACUCCUGAGAGACCGAUAGUGAACCAGUACCGUGAGGGAAAGGUGAAAAGAACCCCGAACAGGGGAGUGAAAAGAACCUGAAACCGUGUGCUUACAAGCGGUUGGAGCAGGCAGGUCCUGUGACAGCGUGCCUUUUGCAUAAUGAGCCUACGAGUUACUCUUGUCUGGCAAGGUUAAGUCCUUCAGGGACGCAGCCGAAGCGAAAGCGAGUCUUAAUAGGGCGCAUAGUCAGAUGAGGUAGACGCGAAACCUUGUGAUCUACCCUUGGGCAGGUUGAAGUUGCAGUAACAUGUAAUGGAGGACCGAACCGAUAAACGUUGAAAAGUUUCCGGAUGACCUGAGGGUAGGGGUGAAAGGCCAAUCAAACUGGGAAAUAGCUCGUACUCCCCGAAAUGUUUUUAGGAACAGCGUCGGCAUGGAGUCUGAUAGAGGUAGAGCUACCGAUUGGGUGCGGGGGAGUCAAAUCCUACCAAAUCCAGACGAACUCCGAAUGCUAUCAGAUAUGGCCGGCAGUGAGGCUUUGGGUGCUAAGGUCCAAGGCCGAGAGGGAAAGAACCCAGACCAUCAGCUAAGGUCCCCAAAUCCGUUCUAAGUUGAACUAACGAGGUCCGGUUGCCCAGACAGCUAGGAUGUUGGCUUGGAAGCAGCCAUUCAUUUAAAGAGUGCGUAACAGCUCACUAGUCGAGCGGCCGGGCGUGGAUAAUAAACGGGCAUCAAGAACGGUACCGAAGCUAUGGAUUUGCAUUGAGAUAUAUGCAUCUGGUAGGGGAGCAUUCCAUAUGGGGCGAAGAUACCUGGUAAUGGGUGUUGGACCGUAUGGAAAAGCAAAUGUAGGCAUAAGUAACGAUAAGGCGGGUGGGAAACCCGCCCACCGAAAGACCAAGGUUUCCUGAUCAACGUUAAUCGGAUCAGGGUCAGUCGGGACCUAAGGCGCACCCGAAGGGGGCAAGCCGAUGGACAACUGGUUAAUAUUCCAGUACUCUUCAUAACUGCGAUGUGGUGACGGAGUAGUGACACUGCCGCGAACUGACGGAAUAGUUCGUUGAAAGGCGUAGGUAUUGGAGUUGUAGGCAAAUCCGCAACUCUAGCUGAAACCCAAUAGUACAGCAAAGCUCCGGUGGCGCUGAUAGAGCAGGUAAACAGACUUCCAAGAAAACCCGCUAAGCUUCAGGUUAUGAAGACCCGUACCGCAAACCGACACAGGUGGUCGAGGAGAGAAUCCUAAGGUGCUCGAGUGAGUCAUGGCUAAGGAACUCGGCAAAAUGGCCCUGUAACUUCGGGAGAAGGGGCGCUGUCUCAGUGAUGAGCAGCCGCAGUGAAAAGGCCCAGGCGACUGUUUAACAAAAACAUAUGGCUUUGCAAAAUCGCAAGAUGAGGUAUAAGGCCUGACACCUGCCCGGUGCUGGAAGGUUAAGAGGGGAUGUCAUCGCAAGAGAAGCAUUGAAUCGAAGCCCCAGUAAACGGCGGCCGUAACUAUAACGGUCCUAAGGUAGCGAAAUUCCUUGUCGGGUAAGUUCCGACCUGCACGAAUGGUGUAACGAUCUGGGCGCUGUCUCAGCCAUGAGCUCGGUGAAAUUGUGGUAUCGGUGAAGACGCCGAUUACCCGCAACGGGACGGAAAGACCCCAUGCACCUUCACUAUAGCUUAACAUUGAGAUUGGGUACAGGAUGUGUAGGAUAGGCGGGAGAUGUUGAAGCGGCUUCGCCAGGAGUCGUGGAAUCAACCUUGAAAUACCGCCCUUUCUGUAUCCGGUUUCUAACUCG